AUGGACGCUCGGUAGUAGGCUUCAAGGCGCCUGGCGAUGGCGGCGGCGUCUUCCGCGCAAGGGCUGUUCUGGCUCCGCUGGAGAAGGCGAUUAGUCAUGGUGUCUGCUGAGCAGUCCAUACAGAUCACCAAGUGCGGGUCUCCAACCUGGGGGUGGGGGAGCACAACAUGGUCAGAAAUUCCACUCUGUGAUAUUCUGGAAAGACCUCUAGUUCUUUCCUUUCCUGGCCUUCUGGUUCUCUCAAGGCCCCCCAGCCACACCGUGGCCGAGUUGAGACUGGACUUCAUGGCUCCUGUUUUCCAUGUGCUGCCUCAGAGCGGUCUCUUGCCCUCAGCUUUUGUCACCUCACAAAAUGUAGGGAUCAUAUAGUAUGCUACCUACUGCAGUCACAAUCUGUCCUCCAUACUGAGGGGACAUCUGUGUGUGUAUGCAUAUGGGUGUUUCCUCUGGGAAGCCUUCCCUGAUGAGAAGAGCUAAUUACUUCCUUCUUUGUACCCGGUUCUAUCCUACGUGACCACUCGGAGCACGGAGUGCCUGUGUCUGUUUGAUGCGGGGUCAGCAGAGCGUAAGGGUGGAAGGCACAAAGGUUGGAGUCAGGCUGCUGAAGGUGUGGUGACGUUCUCUAAGGUGGUCUUCAUCAGUUCCUUGCCUUGGUGUACUUGAAGCUCUUCCUCCACGGAGACACAGAGCCCAGAACUCUACCUCCUCGAAACUGAGCUGAUCCGUAACCACUUGGACCAAGGGAAUAUAAUGGAAAUGAGGCCUAGGCUUCACGCCCAAUGUGGGGCUUGAACUCACGACCCUGAAAUUGAGUCACAUGCUCUACCGACUGAGCCAGUCAGUGCCCCUCAUUUUCUCAUUUGUACAAUAAGGAUGAUCACAGAUUGCUGUAAGGGGAUGUACUUGAAGGAACAGGGUGAGAAAACGCUCCAGAAUCUACAAGAGCGAAACCUCUGGACUAGGUCAUGCACCUUUUCUGCCUGUAUCAACUGGAAAACAAAAGGAGCGUUUGAGCAGCAGGAGAGGCUGGGUGUAGAAGGAAAUGACUCGUGUCUACCAGCAGAGGGCGAGCUUGGGAGGCGGCCUGGGGUUCGGUUAGAGUUGGGCUCCCCGGAGCCGUUUCCGGUGGGCUCUGCAGGAGAAGACAAGAAAGUCCUCCGGACGAGUUCCCUGCGUCCCAGCUCGGCCUCUUUUCCUCGAGACUGGCUCCCCGUGAGCACCACGUGACCGGAAGAGCGCUCUGCCCGUGUGCGAAUGACUCACAGAGACCUGGGGACACGCCCCUGCCCCCAGCCUCACCCUGCUGGGGUCCCCGCAAUUCUGACGCGGCGGAGUUGGUUCUUCACAGGCUUUGCGUGUUAGAGCACAGGGUCCCGUAGGGGCGGUUGGCGUCCCGCAAGCAAACAACGUUUCGAUAGCUACGGCUUUGCCUACAGCCCUCCCUUCGGCCCGUUUGGCCCUUUUCCUGCCGGAAGUAUCAUCUCUCUUCUGCGUAAGAGGAAAUGGAGGCUCAGGGAGGUUAACUUGCCCGAAGCCACUGAGGGCUGUUACUGACGGCCCCGAGUCAGCUGUGUGUAGCCCCAAAGCCUGGGGACUUCCCCUCGUGGCCGUCUCCUUCGGGACGGGGCUCAGGCCAGACGCCGGGGGGCCAAACGGGGCCAGGAGACGAGGGCGAGACAGCGGGGAAGCAAGCGGGUGGCGUGCGAGACCCUUCUGUUUUGCGGACGCGGGCUCUCGCUGCGUCUCGGGAUCGAGCUGGGAUGAGCGCUCAUCCCGGCUGAGAGCAGCCACCAGGAGGAGAAGGUCCGCUUCAGCCGCCGUGGGCUACUGACUUGCCCGAUCCCAGCAGGUGGGACGGGAGGGGGCGUUUACCCUGCUCUCCCCUGACCCACACUUUAGUUUUGUUCUGAUUAAGUCAGGACACUGGCUGGGCCCUAUUUACCAGUGGGCAGGGGCGUGCCCCCCAAAACUCUCUUUUGUUGGGAGAAAUAGCGGUCUUGUUCUCUCCGAGUGCCUCAUUUUCCUCAUUUUAAAAUGAGGAUAAUAAUAGUUUCUACCUCAACAGGACACAUUGCCAGGAUGAAUGAGUUAAUAGACGUCAAGUGCCUGGCCCAUUUUAAGCACUACGUAAAUGUGAGCCUGGCAAUAUAUUCAUCCCUUUUCAUUGUAAAAGCCCCCGUUGGUCAGAUUUGGGUUUAGAAAGAGUCAGAGGCCCCACCCAUGCUUUUCGCCUGAGUUACAUGCUCCAGCGUAUUUCCUGGCUUCACCGCGCUGGGAGGUAAGGGCCCUUGGUUAACAAGAAAGUGGCAUGCCUAUUUUCCAUUUGCUCUCACCUCAGAGGUACCUCCCCUUAAGGAACCUCCCUAGAGGAGGGGUAUCUGGGUCAUUCCAGCAUUCCUGAACACACAACCCUAAUAACAAAAAUACCAUCCCGCUGCUACCAUUCUAUCAUUACACAGCUCAAAGUUCUAUAACGAACUGGAAGUCAGAUGAGGAGGGCAGGAAUUUGCAAGUGGGGCAUCCCAAGGUGGUCCCCAAGGCUCCUCGCAAUUCCAAGCAACUAGAACACACCAACUAGAAAGUCCUUUGGCCAGAUUCAAAACCCCUCCCCCCCUUCUAUUUUUUCGGGGGAAGAACUCAUUCUGAAAAUGAGAAUCACUUAUCCUGUAGAUGGAAGUGUUAUGAGGUAGUUAAGAGUCAUCAUCAGGCAGAGGGGUAGUAAUGUCAUCCUGCACACACCCAGGAAAAUGAUCUGCAUAUUCAGGCGAAGGGCACAAUUUCAGCUAAGAGGCUCCUGGGAGGGAAAAGCCAAGAGCAAGCACAUGCAUUUUAUUUCUGUUAAUAUCUGUUUAGUUUGGCUGUUGUUGAGCACAAGCUUGGGUUAAUGUAGGAAAGCACUUCAAUUUCACACUGGAGAGCCAGGCUAAGCACAUAGCCCUCUUGGAGACGAUAAUAACUCUACAGAGUGGAAACAAUAGUAUCUGCUGAAUAGGAUUUUAAAGAUUAAUAAAAUGACAUAUGUAAAGCAUCUAGUUCAAUUCCUGGCAUAUUUCAAGUGCUCAGAAAAUAACAGCUAUUACUCUAUUAGUUAUGUAUUCCGUAUGAUAUUAUCUGUAUACAAAUGGGUAGAACUCAGGGCGCCUGGGUGGCUCAGUUGGUUAAGCGACUGCCUUCGGCUCAGGUCAUGAUCCUGGAGUCCCGGGAUCGAGUCCCACAUCGGGCUCCCUGCUCAGCGGGGGGUCUGCUUCUCCCUCUGACCCU
Molecule: long non-coding RNA, 3261 nt
Organism: Mirounga angustirostris (Northern elephant seal)
Lineage: Eukaryota; Metazoa; Chordata; Mammalia; Carnivora; Phocidae
Exons: 4
Source: RefSeq, a predicted model, not a curated record